RNAcentral lists this ribosomal RNA (125 nucleotides) under Anabaena cylindrica FACHB-170. Its description in RNAcentral is "partial 23S ribosomal RNA". Lineage: Bacteria; Bacillati; Cyanobacteriota; Cyanophyceae; Nostocales; Nostocaceae. The record is from RNAcentral.
UUAAAGCUUUGACCCCGGCGACUGUUCGAGUUCUGUCAAAGAGAUUGUUGUGGUGACCCAUGCUACAAAGCGGUCUUUAAUGACCUAGGGUGCGACGGUCUACCACUUCUUUUAAUAUACAAGGG